GGGUYCUUUUKGGGCCAACCUCCCAUCCGUGUCUAWUUGUACCCUGUUGCUUCGGCGGGCCCGCCGCUUGUCGGCCGCCGGGGGGGCGCCUCUGCCCCCCGGGCCCGUGCCCGCCGGAGACCCCAACACGAACACUGUCUGAAAGCGUGCAGUCUGAGUUGAUUGAAUGCAAUCAGUUAAAACUUUCAACAAUGGAUCUCUUGGUUCCGGCAUCGAUGAAGAACGCAGCGAAAUGCGAUAACUAAUGUGAAUUGCAGAAUUCAGUGAAUCAUCGAGUCUUUGAACGCACAUUGCGCCCCCUGGUAUUCCGGGGGGCAUGCCUGUCCGAGCGUCAUUGCUGCCCUCAAGCCCGGCUUGUGUGUUGGGUCGCCGUCCCCCUCUCCGGGGGGACGGGCCCGAAAGGCAGCGGCGGCACCGCGUCCGAUCCUCGAGCGUAUGGGGCUUUGUCACAUGCUCUGUAGGAUUGGCCGGCGCCUGCCGACGUUUUCCAACCAUUCUUUCCAGGUUGACCUCGGAUCAGGUAGGGAUACCCGCUGAACUUAAGCAUAUCAAUAAGCSGGAGGAA
This 565-nucleotide ribosomal RNA is filed under the name Aspergillus niger. RNAcentral describes it as "eukaryotic LSU rRNA". The record is from RNAcentral. Lineage: Eukaryota; Fungi; Ascomycota; Eurotiomycetes; Eurotiales; Aspergillaceae.